Molecule: non-coding RNA, 770 nt
Organism: Monodelphis domestica (gray short-tailed opossum)
Lineage: Eukaryota; Metazoa; Chordata; Mammalia; Didelphimorphia; Didelphidae
Source: RefSeq, a predicted model, not a curated record
UAUAGUCCUUCUAAAAGCUAAUUAAAUCAGGCUGACUAAUUGAAAUCAACUGAUAGUCAUGAGGUAGUGAUGGAGGCAUGUAAAGUAGAACAGCUGAAAGAUGCGUCUCAGAGUUACCGUGGAGCCCCUAGACCUGAUAGACACAUUCUGGGAUCAUGACUUUUCAAUACAAGAUAAAGUUGAAGAAGGACCCUAGAGUUACUAGAUGCUUCGUCUACAGGCUUCAUCUGGAAUAAACUUUGGGUUCUUUACAUUUUCUGGGAUCUACUCCAAGGCUAAUGAGAGAAAAGACACGAGGAGAUGAGAAGGGUACCUGGCAACAUAUUUAGAGGGAUUGAGUACAAAUUGCAUAAUGAAAGGGCCAAAAGAAAAAUGACAGGCAGCCCAGCUCUCUGACGGAGACAGCACAGGAAGAGUGGGGAUGAGAGGCAUGAUGCAUAAAUAAAAUGCACAACCUCAUAUCAUUGGCCAAAAUGGCAACUGACACAGCAUCUCCACAACAUCAUUUGCCUUCUGUGUCAGUGUACAGUGGGAAUGAGAGGCUGAGAACAUGACUUAUGUCAUCACAGUUAUUGUAAACAGUAAAACAACUUCCAUGGGGAAACUUGCCUGGGACUCUGGACCAUCUUUGGACAUUAAGCCUUUUUUGUCUUGUUUCUAUAUAAUAGCUGGCCUAGCCUAAGUGCCAUGCAGAGAUCUACCACUACCUUGCCACUGCCCAGGACCAGCCUUGUAAGUAAGCUUCCCCCAGUGAAACCAAUUUACUCCCA